This 350-nucleotide unclassified non-coding RNA is filed under the name Hevea brasiliensis (rubber tree). The record is from RNAcentral. Lineage: Eukaryota; Viridiplantae; Streptophyta; Magnoliopsida; Malpighiales; Euphorbiaceae.
GAAUACUAUUAUUCAGACUUGUGCUGUUGCAUGUUACAGUAUUGCUGUAGGAGGUGGCUUUGGAUCAUAUCUUUUGGGACUGAAUAAGAAAACAUAUCAGCAAGCUGGGGUCGAUACAAGUGGCAAUACACCAGGGAGCUAUAAGGAACCUAAACUUGAUUGGAUGAUUGGUUUUCUCUUUGUUGUUAGUUUUGUUGGGCUAUUAGCUCUGGUUCCUCUUAGAAAGAUCAUGAUAAUUGACUACAAAUUACCUUAUCCAAGUGGAACUGCGACUGCUGUUCUAAUCAAUGGAUUUCAUACACCCAAGGGAGAUAAAUUGGCCAAGAAACAGGUUAAAGGGUUCAUGAAAG